Long non-coding RNA from Octopus sinensis (East Asian common octopus), 201 nucleotides. RefSeq lists it as uncharacterized. Lineage: Eukaryota; Metazoa; Mollusca; Cephalopoda; Octopoda; Octopodidae. The record is from RefSeq and is a predicted model, not a curated record. The transcript is spliced from 3 exons.
GAGGAGGGUCGUUGAGGCGACGUCCGAGCUGGUCAACAGCGACAGGGGCUGCUGUACGCCCGGCCCCGCCAUACAGCUCUGUAGGUUCUGUGAUUGCUAUUGUUGCAGUGAUGAGGCUGUGGAGGAGCAGCUGGACAGCGGAGACGACGACGUGGAGGUGUGGAGGAGGAGGUUGGUGGUGGUGGUGGUGGAAGGGGAAGA